Molecule: ribosomal RNA, 846 nt
Filed under: Agrocybe dura
Lineage: Eukaryota; Fungi; Basidiomycota; Agaricomycetes; Agaricales; Agrocybaceae
Description: partial large subunit ribosomal RNA
Rfam family: Eukaryotic large subunit ribosomal RNA
Source: RNAcentral
ACUAGCAGGAUUCCCCUAGUAACUGCGAGUGAAGCGGGAAAAGCUCAAAUUUAAAAUCUGGCAGUCAUUUCUGGCCGUCCGAGUUGUAAUCUAGAGAAGUGUUACCCGCGCUGGACCGUGUACAAGUCUCCUGGAAUGGAGCGUCAUAGAGGGUGAGAAUCCCGUCUUUGACACGGACUGCCAGGGCUUUUGUGGUGCGCUCUCAAAGAGUCGAGUUGUUUGGGAAUGCAGCUCAAAAUGGGUGGUAAAUUCCAUCUAAAGCUAAAUAUUGGCGAGAGACCGAUAGCGAACAAGUACCGUGAGGGAAAGAUGAAAAGAACUUUGGAAAGAGAGUUAAACAGUACGUGAAAUUGCUGAAAGGGAAACGCUUGAAGUCCAGUCGCGUUGGCCGGGGAUCAACCUUGCUUUUGCUGGGUGUACUUUUCCGGUCGACGGGUCAGCAUCAGUUUUGACCGUCGGAUAAAGUCUGGAGGAAUGUGGCAUCUUUGGAUGUGUUAUAGCCUCUGGUCGCAUACGACGGUUGGGACUGAGGAACUCAGCACGCCGAAAGGCCGGGUACUUGUACCACGUUCGUGCUCAGGAUGCUGGCAUAAUGGCUUCAAUCGACCCGUCUUGAAACACGGACCAAGGAGUCUAACAUGCCUGCGAGUGUUUGGGUGGAAAACCCGAGCGCGCAAUGAAAGUGAAAGUUGAGAUCCCUGUCGUGGGGAGCAUCGACGCCCGGACCAGAAGUUUACUGACGGACCCGCGGUAGAGCAUGUAUGUUGGGACCCGAAAGAUGGUGAACUAUGCCUGAAUAGGGUGAAGCCAGAGGAAACUCUGGUGGAAGCUCGUAGCGAUUCUGAC